RNAcentral lists this ribosomal RNA (497 nucleotides) under uncultured bacterium. Its description in RNAcentral is "partial 16S ribosomal RNA". It matches the Rfam family "Bacterial small subunit ribosomal RNA", at positions 28 to 507 of the family's 1533-position model. The record is from RNAcentral.
GAUGAACGCUGGCGGCGUGCCUAAUACAUGCAAGUCGAACGAACAGAUGAGGAGCUUGCUCCUCUCACGUUAGCGGCGCACGGGUGAGUAACACGUGGAUCCUCUCCCUAUCAUACUGGGAUCACCUCGGGAAUCCGGCGCUAAUACCGUAUAAUAUAUUGAACCACGUGGUUCAAUGGUGAAAUACGGUUUUUCUGUCUCUUAUAGCUGGAUCCGCGCGGUAUUGGAUAGUUGUUAAGGUAACGGCUUAUCACGGCAACGAGGCGUAGCCGAACGGAGAGACUGGUCGGCGACACUGGAAGGGAGACACGGACAAGGCUACUAAGAGAGGGAGCAGUAGGGAAUCGUACGCAAUGGGCGAAAGCCUGACGGAGCGACGGCGAGUGUGUGAUGAAGGCGCUGGGAGCGGAAAACUCGGUUAUGGGGGGAGAACAAAUGUGGCAGGAAACAUGCAGGGAUUGACGGUACCUAAUCAGAAAGCAACGGCUAACUACGUG